UAGGGAAUCUUCCGCAAUGGGCGAAAGCUUGACGGAGCAACGCCGCGUGAGUGAUGAAGGUCCUCGGAUCGUAAAACUCUGUUAUUAGGGAAGAACAAAUGUGUAAGUAACUAUGCACGUCUUGACGGUACCUAAUCAGAAAGCCACGGCUAACUACGUGCCAGCAGCCGCGGUAAUACGUAGGUGGCAAGCGUUAUCCGGAAUUAUUGGGCGUAAAGCGCGCGUAGGCGGUUUUUUAAGUCUGAUGUGAAAGCCCACGGCUCAACCGUGGAGGGUCAUUGGAAACUGGAAAACUUGAGUGCAGAAGAGGAAAGUGGAAUUCCAUGUGUAGCGGUGAAAUGCGCAGAGAUAUGGAGGAACACCAGUGGCGAAGGCGACUUUCUGGUCUGUAACUGACGCUGAUGUGCGAAAGCGUGGGGAUCAAACAGG
RNAcentral lists this ribosomal RNA (429 nucleotides) under Actinomycetes bacterium. RNAcentral describes it as "Actinobacteria bacterium partial 16S ribosomal RNA". It matches the Rfam family "Bacterial small subunit ribosomal RNA", at positions 355 to 776 of the family's 1533-position model. The record is from RNAcentral. Lineage: Bacteria; Bacillati; Actinomycetota; Actinomycetes.